GACGAACGCUGGCGGCGUGCCUAAUACAUGCAAGUCGAACGAGAGCAACCGGUGCUUGCACUGGUCAAUCUAGUGGCGAACGGGUGAGUAACACGUGGGUAACCUGCCCAUCAGAGGGGGAUAACAUCCGGAAACGGAUGCUAAAACCGCAUAGGUCUUCGAACCGCAUGGUUUGAAGAGGAAAAGAGGCGCACGCUUCUGCUGAUGGAUGGACCCGCGGUGCAUUAGCUAGUUGGUGAGGUAACGGCUCACCAAGGCCGUGAUGCAUAGCCGACCUGAGAGGGUGAUCGGCCACAUUGGGACUGAGACACGGCCCAAACUCCUACGGGAGGCAGCAGUAGGGAAUCUUCCGCAAUGGACGCAAGUCUGACGGAGCAACGCCGCGUGAGUGAAGAAGGUGUUCGGAUCGUAAAACUCUGUUGUUAGAGAAGAACAAGUGCUAGAGUAACUGUUAGCGCCUUGACGGUAUCUAACCAGAAAGCCACGGCUAACUACGUG
This 498-nucleotide ribosomal RNA is filed under the name uncultured bacterium. RNAcentral's name for it is "partial 16S ribosomal RNA". It matches the Rfam family "Bacterial small subunit ribosomal RNA", at positions 28 to 507 of the family's 1533-position model. The record is from RNAcentral.